RNAcentral lists this ribosomal RNA (468 nucleotides) under uncultured bacterium. Its description in RNAcentral is "partial 16S ribosomal RNA". It matches the Rfam family "Bacterial small subunit ribosomal RNA", at positions 28 to 507 of the family's 1533-position model. The record is from RNAcentral.
GACGAACGCUGGCGGCGUGCUUAACACAUGCAAGUAGAACGGUAAGGCCCUGCUUUUGUGGGGUGCUGGAGUGGCGAACGCGUGAGUAUCACGUGAGUAUCCUGCCCUUUGCUUUGGGAUAACUUCAGGAAACUCGAUAUAAUAUAGGAUAGGAGCACCUGCUGCACGGUGGGGGUUGUAAAGUUUCGCCGGUUGGGGAAGAAAUCGCGGCUUAUCAGCUUGUUGGUGGGGUAGUGGCUUACCAAGGCACUGACGGGUAGCCGCACUGAGAGGGUGACCGGCCACAGUGGGACUGAGAUACGGCCCAGACUCCUACGGGAGGCAGCAGUGCGGAAUAGUGCACGAUGGGCGGAGGCCUGAUGCAGCAUCGCCGCGUGGUGGAUGACGGUCUUCGGGUUGGAAAGCGCGUUCGCCUGUGACGAAGCGUGAGUGACGGUAAUGGGUAAAGAAGCACCGGCUAACUACGUG